UGUAACAUAAUCUUUCAAGCACAUGUCCAUAGCUCUACAUCUCAGUUCUUCUGAGGUGGUUAAAUAUUUACAUAUACACAUGCCCACACACAUCUAUUAACUGUCCAUCAGGAUUUAGCCUACAGGUCCCUAUGCCUGGAAGGGUUGAGCUAUUUUGAAACCAAACCAAUUAAGAGCAGCAAGGCCCUGAGGCUGAGGGAAGACCCAGGCAACUACAGAUCCCUAAAAUGUACAAUCUUGGGGCCAAACUAACACAUGUAGGCAAGAUCUGAGGUCAUGAUUUGGAAAAAGCAGCUCCUGCAUCUUAUGUAUAAGUGCAUAUCUGGCAUGAUCUUUUGUGAAGAGGCGUUUGGGUACUAUUGAUGGAGAUUGUGGUUGGAGGAGAGAUGGAACUAACAUCACACCCUGUGCGUUGGCAACUUCUAACUAUGCUGGGGAUAGCACAGUCUUGUUCAGUUAUCAUUCCACUAAUAUUUAAUAACCACAGAAACUAGUAAUACACUAAUACCUAACAUCUAUCAAGCACGUGUAUGCCAAGCCCUUAUGUACCUCAUCCCAUUCAGUCCUUAUCAUUGAAUGAGAAGGUUAUUGAACCCUCUGAAAUAGGCCUGAUAAUUGCCUCUAUCUUAUGGGUGGGGAGACUGAGGCUAAAGUGACCCAAAGUUACACCACCAAGUAUGUGAAGGAUCUAAGUUUGAAUCGAAGUCAGACCAGGUAGACAAGGACAAAUAAUGCACAGUCCUUGCCCUCACAGAAAUCACAUUUUAAUAGGUAGAUUAACUCCCAAAUUAUAGCAGAAGGGGUUUUUCUGUUUUUUAACUUAUUAUUAUUAGUUUGGGGACGGGGCAUGGGAGGAAGUGGUUAAAUGAGGAAAUGGUGCAUCCUGGAAGCCGAAGUUUAUUGGUUGGGUUGUGAUGGAGAGUUUGCAUGUUUGGAGUGGGAGGUAGGGUGGCCCAGGGUCGUAAGAUGGAUACAGGGAGGAGAGGGCACCCAGGAGACAGGGGUUUCUGCUACAGGUGGCUGGGCCAGGAGGAGGAACAUGGCUCUGCUGUUAGUACAACAGGUCAUUUGCAGGGAGAAUACAGUAUGCCAGACAGAUGAGUGAGAUGUGUACCACUGUGUCAGAUGCACAGCUGCUUCUUCCCCUUGUGGUUCCCUGUGAAGUCUACAACAAAGCUGCACAAUACUGAGUGUGACUGAUUUUUUGUGAAAAACAGUGAAGGAGCUGAGGUUAUACCCAAGGGUUGUGCCCACAGAGUCAGAACAGGACUGCUGAGGGCUUCUCAGUAUCUCUGGGCUCUGCAGGAAACACACCUCUGGGCUGAGUCAACCAAGGCAUGGCUUGGGCAGCUGAAGGCUGAGCCUUUAGAGAAAGCAAAAGGCUCCCUUCACACAGGCAGAUUUAGUCACAAGCCAGGGACCACAGCUUGGCAAAUGGAGUGAGGGCUGGACUUCUGCCCCCACUCACCCCCUCUGCUGGCUGUCUUCAGUCAGGUACAAGCUGCACUUGAGGUCUGCAGGGGCCCAGAUGUCUGGCACAAGAGUGGCAGCAGACAGCUGAGUUACCAGGUGGUGGUGUGCUGUGUGGACUGUGCAGAGGUGUGGCAGGGUGCCUCCAAGCCCAGAGGAUAAGGGUGCAGUCUGGCCUGGCCAGGACACCCCAGUUGGAAAGAUCUUAUGUUUAAGCUAAAUGCUGGGGAAUGAGCAGAAUUUCACCAGAUGACAGAGCAAAGGACCUACCUGCUCCUGGGGAAAGGUACAGAAGUAUGAAUUUUGGAUACUGUCAGUGGCUGAUUCACUGCACUGUGAACUGCAGACAUGAGCUCCCCACAAGACUUCUCCGUGAGAGGCCCUCCUUAACCCUCGUAAAUAAACAAAUACUAUGAGAGAAACCUCCAUGCCUGUCAGGCAUGGCAGCUUCAAAGCAAGUCCUGUAGUUCUCCUCUCACACGGCCUGAAGCUUCUACACAGAAGAUGGCACUGGACCAGUAGGUGACAAAAUUAGCAAACAUCUAUGCCCGGUAUGUGAAAGGGCUGGAUGGGAGGGGCUGCUGCCUGGAGAUGAGGGUGGGGGGAAGUAUGUCCAAUGUAAGGGAGUCAUAAAGAAAAGUAUUUAAGAUUCCUGUCACAGGAUUACUGUUACAGGAUUAAUUAUCUCAGCAUUAGCUAUCAAAUCAAUCCAUCCAUCUGAUGAGCUUCCCUGUCUCCUGGCAAGGGACUCAUAGGGCAGAACACAGGACAGGUGAGCUAGGUUGUAGGGAGAGAGGUUUAGAGAAGCAAUUCUUUAGUAGGAGGACAAGGCUGGGUGGGGAGGCUGAGGGAAGUCCAGAAUUACCACAGGACAGCUCAUAGACAGGGACACAGGAGAGGAAGGGAAACUGAAUUUGUCCACUCUCCUUUUCAAAUAUGGUGUGGUAAAGAGUUCCGACGUGCUGGCUGUGGUGCCAGGCUUUGGAGAACACACGUGAACAACUGUCUCCCGCUUCUACCUGCUGCAGUGUCUUUUCUGGGUCUGGGCCUAGGGGUACACACGCAUCACGCUGCCCAGGCUAAGUGCAUCAGAAGUCAUGACUUCAGGUUUCAGAUCUGACAUACUGGAAACUCUCCUAUCUCUGGAACACUGGUGGGUUGGAAUAGGAGAGUUACCCCAGGAAGCCUGAGAGUCAGUGGGCAAGGAGAAACAGGCCACGCUGAAGGGAGUCGUGUCUAGUCAACCAGGCAGAACAAUGGAAGUUGGUGAUUGAUAGCUGUGCAUUAGCUUUGAAUUCUUGGUGAAAACGCAGCCUACAGCAGAGCUAUAAUAGCAUAUAUCAUCUCUUCCCUGCGAAGGAGAAACAGUUGCACCUUCCUACCUAUUAAUCACAUCUUCCAUUAAUCAGAAUAACUCACCAUAAUUGUGAUUACAGUUGGGAAUCAAUUAAUGUUCACCUUAAAGUGUAGAGAGGAAAGCAAUUAACAUAAUAGAGUUAGAGCAUCAAAAUGACACAAAUGUUAUUGACAAUUACGAAUCACAUCUUGCAGUUUUCUGGUUCUCUGCUCUUUCAUGAAGAGGUUUACAGUGGAGGAGGGGAAGCAGUCUCGGAUCUUCCAGGUAAAAAUAUCUCUGAAAACUCCAGGUCAGCAAUUCAUUGAUCUACUCUGUCCCUGAACAUCUACGUGUCUGUCCUCAGAACAACCACUCCAGGAAGAAAUAUGAACAAACCUGUCCCAGGAGCAGCUGAUGGUUUUUCCACCUUUCCAGUGACUUCGCAGGUUCUCAGACUGUCCUCUGGUUGCUCAGAACUACCCAUGGUGGGCAGUCCCGGUGGUUCAGCGGUUUAGCGUCGCCUUCAGCCCAGGGCCUGACCCUGGAGACCCGGGAUGGAGUCCCGUGUCGAGCUCCCUGCAUGGAGCCUGCUUCUCCCUCUGCCUGUGUCUCUGC
Long non-coding RNA from Canis lupus familiaris (dog), 3421 nucleotides. RefSeq lists it as uncharacterized. The transcript is spliced from 3 exons. Lineage: Eukaryota; Metazoa; Chordata; Mammalia; Carnivora; Canidae. The record is from RefSeq and is a predicted model, not a curated record.